GCCAAUGUGGUGUAGUGGUUUGAGUGCUGGACUAGGACUCCAGGAAACCAGGGUUCAAGUCCCUGCUUAGCUG
This 73-nucleotide transfer RNA is filed under the name Phrynosoma platyrhinos (Desert horned lizard). RNAcentral describes it as "tRNA-OTHER". It matches the Rfam family "tRNA". Rfam says of the family: Transfer RNA (tRNA) molecules are approximately 80 nucleotides in length. Their secondary structure includes four short double-helical elements and three loops (D, anti-codon, and T loops). The record is from RNAcentral. Lineage: Eukaryota; Metazoa; Chordata; Lepidosauria; Squamata; Phrynosomatidae.